UGGUGUGACUACGCCAGCUAUUGGACCA
RNAcentral lists this non-coding RNA (28 nucleotides) under Homo sapiens (human). The record is from RNAcentral. Lineage: Eukaryota; Metazoa; Chordata; Mammalia; Primates; Hominidae.